CAGCAGUGGACAGAGGUUCUGGUUUCUCCACAUCCUGGCUAUCUCUCGCAUUAUGUGACUUUAUUAUUUCUUUUAUUUAUUUAUUUAUUUUUUAGAGAAGGGGGUCUUGCUACAUUGCCCAGGCUGGUCUUGAACUCCUGGCCUCAAGACAUCCUCCUACCUCAGCCUCUCAAAGUGCUGGGAUUACAGGCAUAUACUACCAUGCCUGGCCUUAUGUGAUUUUUUGAUUCUAGCCACACCUAGUAGGUACAAAGUGGUGAGUCUUUUUAUUUAUUUAUUUUUUUGAGACGGAGUCUCUCUCUGUCACCCAUGCUGGAGUGCAAUGGUGCUAUCUCGGCUCACUGCAACCUCUGCCUCCCAGGUUCAAGUGAUUCUCCUGCCUCAGUCUCCCGAGUAGCUGGGAUUACGGAGGUGUGCCACCACACCUGGCUAAUUUUUGUAUUUUUAGUAGAGACAAGAUUUCACCAUUUUGGCCAGGCUGGUCUUGAACUCCUGACCUCAGGUGAUCCGCCCUCCUCAGCCUCCCAAAGUGCUGGGAUUACAGGUGUGAGCCACUGUGCCUGGCCUAGAAGUGGAGCCAAGGUCCUCAUGACAGGGUUGGAAAGGCCUGGGAGGGGAGCCAGGAGCCUGAGACCAGCUCAGCAGGUCCUGGCCGUGUGACCCAGAGGAAGUCACCCCAUCUCGCCUGCUAACCAGAUGACUAACAGCAGCAGCAAUCAUAUUGCCUAAUUUGCUACCUCACAGGAGUGUGGGAGAAGAUCAAACAGAGAAAUGAAUGAGAAGCAUUCUUUCCACAAAUAUUUGUUGAACACCUACUGUGCUCGAGGCUUGUGGAGGACCAAGCGGGGAACAAGCUGGCAUAAUCCUUCUCCCUAGGAAUGUACAGUCAACAGGGAAGCCAGAAAUGAAGGGAUUGCUACAAAGUGUGCAAGUGCCUCCCUCUGCUGAGGAUUGGGGCACAUGAUGGCAGAGGCAUCUCUGCAAAUCCUGACAAUCUCACAGGUCAUCCCUGCUUUGCCUCCUUUGAGUCUUCAUUUAUGAAAUGGACUGGGUUUUUGUUGUUGUUGUUGUUUUAGAUGGUGUCUCGCUCUGUUGCCCAGGCUGGAGUGCAGUGGCGUGAUCUCGGCUCACUGCAACCUCCGCCUCCCGGGUUCAAGCAAUUCUCCUGCUUCAGCCUCCCGAGUAGUUGGGAUUACAGGUGUAUGCCACCACACCUGGCUAAUUUUUGUAUUUUUAGUAGAGACGGGGUUUCACCAUGUUUGCCAGGCUGGUCUCGAACUCCUGACCUCAGGUGAUCCGCCCACCUUGGCCUCUCAAAGUGCUGGGAUUAUAAGGCGUGAGCCACUGAGCCCAGCCUGGACUGUUUUUUGUUUUUGAGACAGGGUCUCACUCUGUUGCCUGGGCUGGAGUGCAGUGCUGUGAUCAUGGCUCACGGUAGCCUCGAACUCCUGGGCUCAGGUGAUCCUCCCACCUCAGCCUCCUGAGUAGCUGGCACUACAGGAGCACACCACCACCACCAUGCCCCGCUAAUUUUUAAUUUUUUACAGACAGGGUCUCACUAUGUUGCCCAGCCUGGUCUUGAACUCCUGGGCUCAAGCAAUCCUGCCUCAGCCUCUCAAAGUGCUGGGAUUACAGGGGUGAGCCACUGCACCUGGCCUUGAAAUGGACUUUGAAGUGAGCAUCAAGAUAUACCUUCCUCACGACGCUGGUGUAAGGAUUGAGCUCAUGCAUGUGAAAGGGCUUAGCACCGAGCCAGACACCUCUAAGACAUCGCUGGAUGGCGGUGAUUGUUCAUGCGCGACCUUGCCACUGGGCACCUGGGGAUGCAGGCAUGACAUUGUCCUUCAAAGAGACAGGGAUGAGGAGCAUGUGUCUGGCACCUGGAGAUCACAUUCCCUUCCUCCCUCAGGGCCUAUAUUUGCCCACACAUACACGAUUGCGUGGGGACGUUAAAAGGUUCGAAAGCAGAUAUUCCAAACUGGUAACAGGGUGAGAAAUGAGGGUAAUUAUGAGCCCAGUCAUCUACUUUUAUGUUUUAUCUUUUAUAUAUUGUUUGAACAAUAGAUCACUUUUUGUUUUUCUUUAUUACGGUAAAAUACGCGUGACAUUAAAUGUUCCAUUUGAACCAUUUUUAAGUGUAUGGUUCGGUGGCAUUAAGUACGUUCCCAAUGUUGCAACCGCUACCACCACCUUCCCCAGUGAAACUCUGUCCCCAUUAAACACUAACUCUCCCUUUCCCCUUCCCCAGCCCCUGGCAACAUUUAUUCUACUUUCUGUCUCUACAAAUUUGACUCGUAUAAGUGCAAUCACACAGUAUUUGUCCUUUUGUGUCUGGCUUAUUUCACUUAACAUAAUAUCCUCAAGUUCACUCACAUGGGAGCAUAUAUCAG
RNAcentral lists this long non-coding RNA (2390 nucleotides) under Homo sapiens (human). RNAcentral's name for it is "HSALNT0276856". Lineage: Eukaryota; Metazoa; Chordata; Mammalia; Primates; Hominidae. The record is from RNAcentral.